RNAcentral lists this unclassified non-coding RNA (353 nucleotides) under soil metagenome. RNAcentral's name for it is "partial contains 5.8S ribosomal RNA, internal transcribed spacer 2, and large subunit ribosomal RNA". The stretch from base 1 to 120 matches the Rfam family "5.8S ribosomal RNA", at positions 35 to 154 of the family's 154-position model. The record is from RNAcentral.
GAUGAAGAACGCAGCGAAAUGCGAUAAGUAAUGUGAAUUGCAGAAUUCAGUGAAUCAUCGAAUCUUUGAACGCACAUUGCGCCCGCGAGUAUUCUCGCGGGCAUGCCUGUCCGAGCGUCAUUUCAACCCUCAGGGCCCGCCUGCUUCGGCAGGCGCGGCGCUGGUGUUGGGAAUCGGCCUAACCGCCGUCCCCCAAAUACAGUGGCGGUCUCGCUGCAGCCUCCCCUGCGUAGUAGCAACACUCGCAUGCGGAGCGCGGCGCGGCCACGCCGUAAAACCCCCGACUUUCUGAACGUUGACCUCGGAUCAGGUAGGAAUACCCGCUGAACUUAAGCAUAUCAAUAAGCGGAGGA